CCUACGGGUGGCAGCAGUGAGGAAUAUUGGUCAAUGGCCGUAAGGCUGAACCAGCCACGUAGCGUGAGGGAAGACUGCCCUCUGGGUUGUAAACCACUUUUAUGCGGGGAUAAAGUUGUCCAAGCGUGGAUGUUUGCGCGUACCGCCUGCAUAAGGACAGGCUCAUUCCGUGACAGCAACCGCGGUAAUACGGAAGGUCCGGGCGUUAUUCGGAGUGAUUGGGUUGAAAGGGAGCGUAGGCCGGUCAUGAAGGGUGCCGGGAAAUUUUGUGGCUCAACCAUGGGAGUGCGGCGCGAACUGGAGCCCGUGAGUGCGCUGAAGGCAGGCGGAAUUCGUGGUGUAGCGGUGAAAUGCUUAGAUAUCACGAAGAACCCCGGUGGCGAAGGCAGCCUGCCGCAGCGUGACUGACGCUGAAGCUCGAAAGCGCGGGUAUCGAACAGGAUUAGAUACCCUUGUAGUC
This 460-nucleotide ribosomal RNA is filed under the name uncultured bacterium. Its description in RNAcentral is "partial 16S ribosomal RNA". It matches the Rfam family "Bacterial small subunit ribosomal RNA", at positions 338 to 795 of the family's 1533-position model. The record is from RNAcentral.